Molecule: unclassified non-coding RNA, 361 nt
Filed under: soil metagenome
Description: partial contains 5.8S ribosomal RNA, internal transcribed spacer 2, and large subunit ribosomal RNA
Rfam family: 5.8S ribosomal RNA (bases 1-120)
Source: RNAcentral
GAUGAAGAACGCAGCGAAAUGCGAUAAGUAAUGUGAAUUGCAGAAUUUAGUGAAUCAUCGAAUCUUUGAACGCAUAUUGCGCCCGCCAGCACUCUGGCGGGCAUGCCUGUUCGAGCGUCAUUUCAACCCUCAGGCCUCGCGUCUGGCGUUGGGGCGCUGCGGCCCUCCCGCAGGCCCCCAAAUUUAGCGGCGGAUUCCCCGCGGCCCUGAGCGCAGUAGAGAGUAAAAACUUUAACGCUCCGGCGGCCGUGGCGCGGUUCUGCCUCUUUCCCAAUAGCGCCAAUAGCGCCACCCCCAAAAAAGUUGACCUCGGAUCAGGUAGGACUACCCGCUGAACUUAAGCAUAUCAAUAAGCGGAGGA